CAACAGUGGUGGAGUAUACCUCAGAAGCAAGACCUGCCACAGGGAAGGUUUCUAAAUCUGUUCUUGCACUACUCCUGAUCACAUAGUCCACCACUCUCGAAACAAAACUGGAGACACGGGAUGUUCGAAAAUCUGCUUCAGAAGCACAACUACUUCUCAAUGCAUAGUCCACCACCGAAGAAAAACUAUGGGGAGGAGAUGCUCCGAAACCUGAGGCAGUCUCACUCCUUAUGGCACUGUCCACAGCCGAACAAAAACUUGUUGCAUCACCCAU
This 274-nucleotide small RNA is filed under the name Vigna angularis var. angularis. RNAcentral describes it as "Non-protein coding transcript". Lineage: Eukaryota; Viridiplantae; Streptophyta; Magnoliopsida; Fabales; Fabaceae. The record is from RNAcentral.